This is a long non-coding RNA of Protopterus annectens (West African lungfish), 463 nucleotides long. RefSeq lists it as uncharacterized. The transcript is spliced from 4 exons. NCBI's taxonomy places the organism in Eukaryota, Metazoa, Chordata, Ceratodontiformes, Protopteridae. The record is from RefSeq and is a predicted model, not a curated record.
UGGCAAAAGCUGCGGAAAUUCUUUCACAUCUAACCUGCUUUUCUAAAACAGAGCUUUUCCCAGCAUUCUCUUCGGUCCCAUAGUCUACUGUCGUGGGUAGAAAGCAAAAUGGUUCCUCCUGUGCAGGUUUCCCCUCUCAUUAAAUUUACAAGGUACUCUGCUCUGUUGGUUGGACUAAUAUAUGGAAAACAAAGAUAUGAUUAUCUGAAACCCAUUGCAGCAGAAGAACGGAGGAUAGAGGAGGAAGAAAAGAAGCGACGUGAAGAGACAGAGCGAAUUGCAAAGGAGCUUGCAGCAGCAAAUGAAGACACCAUUUUGAAAUGAAUGCUUAUGAUCAGAGUCUUUUCUUGUUAAACGCACCUUUCCCUUCAAUUCAAACAAACAUAAAUUUAAAGAAUAAUUUGUAUUUUAAGUUCCUGACCUCCUCUACAAAACAUUUGAAUUAAUAAACAUGUAAAGCUUA